Molecule: ribosomal RNA, 253 nt
Filed under: uncultured bacterium
Lineage: Bacteria
Description: partial 16S ribosomal RNA
Rfam family: Bacterial small subunit ribosomal RNA
Source: RNAcentral
UACGUAGGGAGCAAGCGUUGUCCGGAAUCAUUGGGCGUAAAGCGCGCGUAGGCGGCCCUGUAAGUCCGUUGUGAAAGUCAAAGGCUCAACCUUUGAAAGCCGAUGGAUACUGCAGGGCUAGAGUCCGGAAGAGGCGAGUGGAAUUCCUGGUGUAGCGGUGAAAUGCGCAGAUAUCAGGAAGAACACCCGUGGCGAAGGCAGCUCGCUGGGACGGUACUGACGCUGAGGCGCGAAAGCGUGGGGAGCAAACAGG